GGCUUAACACAUGCAAGUCGAGGGGCAGCAUGGUCUUAGCUUGCUAAGGCCGAUGGCGACCGGCGCACGGGUGAGUAACACGUAUCCAACCUGCCGUCUACUCUUGGACAGCCUUCUGAAAGGAAGAUUAAUACAAGAUGGCAUCAUGAGUCCGCAUGUUCACAUGAUUAAAGGUAUUCCGGUAGACGAUGGGGAUGCGUUCCAUUAGAUAGUAGGCGGGGUAACGGCCCACCUAGUCUUCGAUGGAUAGGGGUUCUGAGAGGAAGGUCCCCCACAUUGGAACUGAGACACGGUCCAAACUCCUACGGGAGGCAGCAGUGAGGAAUAUUGGUCAAUGGGCGAGAGCCUGAACCAGCCAAGUAGCGUGAAGGAUGACUGCCCUAUGGGUUGUAAACUUCUUUUAUAAAGGAAUAAAGUCGGGUAUGGAUACCCGUUUGCAUGUACUUUAUGAAUAAGGAUCGGCUAACUCCGUGCCAGCAGCCGCGGUAAUACGGAGGAUCCGAGCGUUAUCCGGAUUUAUUGGGUUUAAAGGGAGCGUAGAUGGAUGUUUAAGUCAGUUGUGAAAGUUUGCGGCUCAACCGUAAAAUUGCAGUUGAUACUGGAUAUCUUGAGUGCAGUUGAGGCAGGCGGAAUUCGUGGUGUAGCGGUGAAAUGCUUAGAUAUCACGAAGAACUCCGAUUGCGAAGGCAGCCUGCUAAGCUGCAACUGACAUUGAGGCUCGAAAGUGUGGGUAUCAAACAGGAUUAGAUACCCUGGUAGUCCACACGGUAAACGAUGAAUACUCGCUGUUUGCGAUAUACAGCAAGCGGCCAAGCGAAAGCGUUAAGUAUUCCACCCUGGGGAGUACGCCGGCAACGGUGAAACUCAAAGGAAUUGACGGGGGCCCGCACAAGCGGAGGAACAUGUGGUUUAAUUCGAUGAUACGCGAGGAACCUUACCCGGGCUUAAAUUGCAGAUGAAUUACGGUGAAAGCCGUAAGCCGCAAGGCAUCUGUGAAGGUGCUGCAUGGUUGUCGUCAGCUCGUGCCGUGAGGUGUCGGCUUAAGUGCCAUAACGAGCGCAACCCUUGUUGUCAGUUAUUAACAGGUUCCGCUGAGGACUCUGACAAGACUGCCAUCGUAAGAUGUGAGGAAGGUGGGGAUGACGUCAAAUCAGCACGGCCCUUACGUCCGGGGCUACACACGUGUUACAAUGGGGGGGUACAGAGGGCCGCUACCACGCGAGUGGAUGCCAAUCCCAAAAACCUCUCUCAGUUCGGACUGGAGUCUGCAACCCGACUCCACGAAGCUGGAUUCGCUAGUAAUCGCGCAUCAGCCACGGCGCGGUGAAUACGUUCCCGGGCCUUGUACACACCGCCCGUCAAGCCAUGGGAGCCGGGGGUACCUGAAGUGCGUAACCGAGAGGAGCGCCCUAGGGUAAAACUGGUGACUGGGGCUAAGU
Molecule: ribosomal RNA, 1439 nt
Filed under: uncultured organism
Description: SSU rRNA
Rfam family: Bacterial small subunit ribosomal RNA
Source: RNAcentral